AAUGAACGCUGGCGGCAGGCCUAACACAUGCAAGUCGAACGGAUCCUUCGGGAUUAGUGGCGGACGGGUGAGUAACGCGUGGGAACAUACCCUUUGGUACGGAAUAGCCUCGGGAAACUGGGAGUAAUACCGUAUGUGGUCGAGAGACGAAAGAUUUAUCGCCAAGGGAUUGGCCCGCGUUGGAUUAGGUAGUUGGUGGGGUAAUGGCCUACCAAGCCGACGAUCCAUAGCUGGUUUGAGAGGAUGAUCAGCCACACUGGGACUGAGACACGGGCCAGACUCCUACGGGAGGCAGCAGUGGGAAUUCUUAGACAAUGGGGGAGACCCUGAUCUAGCCAUGCCGCGUGAUCGAUGAAGGCCUUAGGGUUGUAAAGAUCUUUCAGGUGGGAAGAUAAUGACUGUACCACCAGAAGAAGCCCCGGCUAACUCCGUGCCAGACGCCGCCGUAA
Molecule: ribosomal RNA, 449 nt
Filed under: uncultured bacterium
Lineage: Bacteria
Description: partial 16S ribosomal RNA
Rfam family: Bacterial small subunit ribosomal RNA
Source: RNAcentral